GGAUUGUUCACCCACCAAUAGGGAACGUGAGCUGGGUUUAGACUGUUGUGAUACAGGUUAGUUUUACCCUACUAAUGGCAGUGUCACAAUAGUAAUUCAAUGUAGUACGAGAGGAACCGUUGAUUCGCAAAAUUGAUCAUCGUGCUUGGUUGAAAAGCCAGUGGCGCAAAGCUACCAUGCGCUGGAUUAUGACUAAAUGCCUCUAAGUCAGAAUUUGGGCUAGAAACGAUGCAUGCGCCUGUCGCCUACUUGCUGAUCUGCAGUAGGGACCGUUCGGCCUCCAAAGGGACGCGUCAUUGGUGAAGCCCGCGCAACGGAUGGCCCGCGCGGGCUGCCUUGAAGUACAAUUCCUAUCUUGAGCGGUGGGUAGAAUCCUUUGCAGAUGACUUAAAUACACGAUGGGGUAUUGUGUGUGGUAGAGUGGCCUUGCUUCCACGAAUCCACUAAGAUACAGCCCUGCGUCGCUCCGAUUCGUCCCUCCC
This 482-nucleotide ribosomal RNA is filed under the name Camellia sinensis. Its description in RNAcentral is "eukaryotic LSU rRNA". It matches the Rfam family "Eukaryotic large subunit ribosomal RNA", at positions 2926 to 3401 of the family's 3401-position model. The record is from RNAcentral. Lineage: Eukaryota; Viridiplantae; Streptophyta; Magnoliopsida; Ericales; Theaceae.